GCAGUCGAGGGGCAGCAUGAACUUAGCUUGCUAAGUUUGAUGGCGACCGGCGCACGGGUGAGUAACACGUAUCCAACCUGCCGAUGACUCGGGGAUAGCCUUUCGAAAGAAAGAUUAAUACCCGAUGGCAUAGUUCUUCCGCAUGGUAGAACUAUUAAAGAAUUUCGGUCAUCGAUGGGGAUGCGUUCCAUUAGGUUGUUGGCGGGGUAACGGCCCACCAAGCCUUCGAUGGAUAGGGGUUCUGAGAGGAAGGUCCCCCACAUUGGAACUGAGACACGGUCCAAACUCCUACGGGAGGCAGCAGUGAGGAAUAUUGGUCAAUGGACGAGAGUCUGAACCAGCCAAGUAGCGUGAAGGAUGACUGCCCUAUGGGUUGUAAACUUCUUUUAUACGGGAAUAAAGUGAGGCACGUGUGCCUUUUUGUAUGUACCGUAUGAAUAAGGAUCGGCUAACUCCGUGCCAGCAGCCGCGGUAAUACGGAGGAUCCGAGCGUUAUCCGGAUUUAUUGGGUUUAAAGGGAGCGUAGGCGGACGCUUAAGUCAGUUGUGAAAGUUUGCGGCUCAACCGUAAAAUUGCAGUUGAUACUGGGUGUCUUGAGUACAGUAGAGGCAGGCGGAAUUCGUGGUGUAGCGGUGAAAUGCUUAGAUAUCACGAAGAACUCCGAUUGCGAAGGCAGCUUGCUGGACUGUAACUGACGCUGAUGCUCGAAAGUGUGGGUAUCAAACAGGAUUAGAUACCCUGGUAGUCCACACAGUAAACGAUGAAUACUCGCUGUUUGCGAUAUACAGUAAGCGGCCAAGCGAAAGCGUUAAGUAUUCCACCUGGGGAGUACGCCGGCAACGGUGAAACUCAAAGGAAUUGACGGGGGCCCGCACAAGCGGAGGAACAUGUGGUUUAAUUCGAUGAUACGCGAGGAACCUUACCCGGGCUUGAAUUGCAACUGAAUGAUGUGG
This 953-nucleotide ribosomal RNA is filed under the name uncultured bacterium. RNAcentral describes it as "bacterial SSU rRNA". It matches the Rfam family "Bacterial small subunit ribosomal RNA", at positions 57 to 1003 of the family's 1533-position model. The record is from RNAcentral.